ACGGAUGCUUGCCUUCGCUGACGAGUGGCGGACGGGUGAGUAAUACUUAGGGAUCUGCCUUCGGGAGGGGGAUAACCAUUGGAAACGAUGGCUAAUACCGCAUAACGUCUACGGACCAAAGGGGGCUUCGGCUCUCACCUGAAGAGGAACCUAAGCGAGAUUAGCUAGUUGGUGAGGUAAAGGCUCACCAAGGCGACGAUCUCUAGCUGUUCUGAGAGGAAGAUCAGCCACACUGGGACUGAGACACGGCCCAGACUCCUACGGGAGGCAGCAGUGGGGAAUAUUGCACAAUGGGGGAAACCCUGAUGCAGCCAUGCCGCGUGUGUGAAGAAGGCCUUCGGGUUGUAAAGCACUUUCAGUCGUGAGGAAAGGAUGAUGGUUAAUACCCCUCAUCUGUGACGUUAGCGACAGAAGAAGCACCGGCUAACUCCGUGCCAGCAGCCGCGGUAAUACGGAGGGUGCGAGCGUUAAUCGGAAUUACUGGGCGUAAAGCGCACGCAGGCGGAUUGUUAAGCUAGAGGUGAAAGCCCCGCGCUCAACGUGGGAAUUGCCUUUAGAACUGGCAGUCUAGAGUCUUGGAGAGGGGGGUGGAAUUCCAGGUGUAGCGGUGAAAUGCGUAGAGAUCUGGAGGAACAUCAGUGGCGAAGGCGGCCCCCUGGCCAAAGACUGACGCUCAUGUGCGAAAGUGUGGGUAGCGAACAGGAUUAGAUACCCUGGUAGUCCACACCGUAAACGCUGUCUACUAGCUGUUUGUGUAUUUAAUACGUGAGUAGCGUAGCUAACGCGCUAAGUAGACCGCCUGGGGAGUACGGCCGCAAGGUUAAAACUCAAAUGAAUUGACGGGGGCCCGCACAAGCGGUGGAGCAUGUGGUUUAAUUCGAUGCAACGCGAAGAACCUUACCUACACUUGACAUGCUGAGAAGUUACCAGAGAUGGUUUCGUGCCU
RNAcentral lists this ribosomal RNA (946 nucleotides) under uncultured bacterium. RNAcentral's name for it is "bacterial SSU rRNA". It matches the Rfam family "Bacterial small subunit ribosomal RNA", at positions 72 to 1019 of the family's 1533-position model. The record is from RNAcentral.